Lycium ferocissimum is the source of this 864-nucleotide long non-coding RNA. RefSeq lists it as uncharacterized. The transcript has 3 exons. NCBI's taxonomy places the organism in Eukaryota, Viridiplantae, Streptophyta, Magnoliopsida, Solanales, Solanaceae. The record is from RefSeq and is a predicted model, not a curated record.
UUGACCAUUUCUACAAAUGGAGGUUAUAAUUGAAAUGCAAGGUCAUCUUUUUUAAUCUCCAAAUCAGCCCAAUGUUUCCUCAAGCCCAAUUCAUAACCCGGUCCACACAAUUAAAAUCCCCAAUUCCCUUUUCUUUCCUUUUUCAAAAAAAAAAAAAAAAAAGAAAAAAAAAAGACAGAAGCUACACAAAAAUGAAGGCUAAUGAGCCUUUUCUUGGAACAACGGUAACAAAGCCAUCUUUGGCUAACAAUCUUUGCUCCUUUAUGUCUCUAUAGUAGUUGUUCGCCUAUUUUUGGGCAAAGAAUUAAACGCCCUUUCAUUUGGUAGAAUCCCCAUUUUUUUUUAUUUUUUUUUUGAUUCAAGGGAGAGUUUUUUGGACAACCAAAAAAAAAAAGGUUUUAACACCCCAAGUUCCAGAAGUUUUAGUCUCUUUGCUCAAAACAAGAAAUUUCUCUGGUAAGCUGUGUUCUUCAAAUUAUUGGAACAAGUUUAAAAGUUUUUCGAGUUCUGAGUCGGUUCGUCGUUGUUGGUGAAAGGUCGAAGGUGAUCGUCAACUCUCAUCGCCCCCAUCGCCGCAUCGAAAAAAGAUACUACACAAAGGGCCGACGAGAAAAUUCAAUUUGAGGACAUGCCUUGUCCGGAAAGGUUAUCCCUCGGUUUAGGCAAUGACGAUACUUAUAAAUAAGAUCACAAGAUAGAAAUAGACGAGCAUAUGGAUGUGAACUAGUAUGGCUAACAAGCAAACUAGUAUUUGCAACCGCGACUUGACUUGGUUUCUAGCAAAAAUUCAGAAGCAUAAAUCUGAGCCUCCGUAAUCAAAGCUCUCAAAUUUUGAUACGAGUCCGAGGGAUGUUAAUUUUAUGU